Camelus ferus (Wild Bactrian camel) is the source of this 72-nucleotide transfer RNA. It matches the Rfam family "tRNA". Rfam says of the family: Transfer RNA (tRNA) molecules are approximately 80 nucleotides in length. Their secondary structure includes four short double-helical elements and three loops (D, anti-codon, and T loops). The record is from Rfam. Lineage: Eukaryota; Metazoa; Chordata; Mammalia; Artiodactyla; Camelidae.
GUAGGAAUAGCUCAGUGGUAGAGUGCACGGUUAGCAUGCAUGAGGUCCUGGGUUCAAUCCCCAGUACCUCCU